Molecule: ribosomal RNA, 108 nt
Filed under: Escherichia coli DEC5E
Lineage: Bacteria; Pseudomonadati; Pseudomonadota; Gammaproteobacteria; Enterobacterales; Enterobacteriaceae
Source: RNAcentral
UUGCCUGGCGGCCUUAGCGCGGUGGUCCCACCUGACCCCAUGCCGAACUCAGAAGUGAAACGCCGUAGCGCCGAUGGUAGUGUGGGGUCUCCCCAUGCGAGAGUAGGG